GGAAUCAUAAGCAAGCCUCUGUCUGGGUCAGGACAAGGUUUAAGGGUUUUUCUGUAGUUCCAUCUCCCUCCAUAAUCUUCUACGAUCCAAACUUGGUGUCACAAUAUUGGACUAAGAAAAAGCAGCCAUGGCAAGUCUUACAACUAACCUCCCCCUUCAGAGAGCCUUUAAGGUAACCUCUAUGCAGACACCUUUGGAGGAGCUAUACAGUGUUUGCAAGAUUCGACCUCAAUAUUGCAGGGCAGGUCUGCGGCUCCAGGACAUUGUCGAAAGUAUUCUCUAUGCAGACCUGCCCUGCAAUAUUGAGGUCGAAUCUUGCAAACACUGUACUGACCUUGAAGAAAAUAGGAAUAAGUAACUUGGUGCAGUUCGAUUUUAUGGAUCCACCUGAGAGACUGAUGCGUGCCUUGGAGGUGUUGAAUUAUUUGGGAGCACUUGAUGAUGAUGGAAACCUGACAAAUUCGAUCACACAAAUCAUCUGAAACUCUAAAACAACAACGCAAGAAAGAUGACUGCGUAGGAGGUAUCUGAUGAAUUACAAGCGUUGUUUUCCGCAGCCAUCAAAGCCAGCUACCUUACACGAAACAUAGACGGCAUCGAAUGAUGUGUCGAAGCUUUGAAUAAGUUGAAGACUAAGUCUCUCUCCGUUUUAGUAACUUCACACAAACUCAAAGAUCAAAUAACAUUUUUUAAAAAGAAUAAGCGAAACACUGUAUCAGGAUUCAUUAAGAGUAGUAUCUGAGUGUCAGGAUGAUAUGGAAUCCGUUUGUAUUAAAUGUUAAGAGUGACAUUUGUAAACAUGUGUUGUGGCUUUCAGUAUGCAACUUCAUCC
Brassica napus (rape) is the source of this 832-nucleotide long non-coding RNA. RefSeq lists it as uncharacterized. The transcript is spliced from 2 exons. NCBI's taxonomy places the organism in Eukaryota, Viridiplantae, Streptophyta, Magnoliopsida, Brassicales, Brassicaceae. The record is from RefSeq and is a predicted model, not a curated record.